GAUACCCCCCUUCCUGCCUGCAGGUCCGUUGCUGUGUCCUUCUUUGACUGGAAAAGGGGAAAAUGCACCGAUUCAGACUUUGAACUGCGCGUUGGCAGAGGAGGGAGCAGAGCCAUUGCCCUGCUAAACGGGCAUAAUCAUCCUGUGGGUGUCUAAUUACCACCGAGUUCCAGAGCUGUGUGGGUUGCGUUAUCCACCUUCCCGGGACGCCUAGGAGGGACAGAAACGUCAUGUUCCAGGACGUAAAGCAGCCCCGGGUGACUCAGACCAGGAGGAACCCUUCAGACAGGCAGAACCUCGGUGAGCCUCCGCGGCAGCGGAUCCAGCGCCCUCCUUUGAGGUGUUCGGAUUGGGCAGUGUCAAGGCUGGGUUAGACAGAGCACAGGCUUGAGCCAGAAUCGUCCACCCAUCCGCCCCUCCUCGCCGUCCUUACGGCAACAGCAGGCUGAGAAUAAUAAUCCCCAAUUAAGCCUGUUGUUAAAUAUGACUCUGAACAGCCCCAAAGGGAGUAAAUUAACACACAGCAGUCUAUUUCUGGGUGUAAUCCAAGCCUUGGAAACCUGAGAAGAAAAGAUUUAGAACGUGAUAGAGAUUGGGCCAAAGUUCAUUUUCCACUUCUUAACUUCCAGCUCCAACCUCCUCCUUGGUUUGGUUUCCACUUGAUUAUCCUCAGUGCCUCCGGGGGUAGAGAGCACAACGAACCUUCACUGGCAGGCAGCACAAUUUAUACUCAGCAGUGUCGUGAAGAUUACUCCUGGAGUCUGGGGCACAGCAGGACCUGCACCGACGUGCGGGAGCUGGGGAGCGAAUCCAGGGGCUUGGUGGUGUUGUGAGGCAAGCGGUGCCUGCAAGCCCACUGUAAUCCUGCUCCAGAAAACGUGUUUGCAACAGAGCCUGAGGCUCUGCUCCAAGCCUGCUCCCGUCUUCCUACUCAUGGUGGUUCUCCUCUCCUAAUCCCUUUUUAAUAUGCGGUGUUACAUAUUUUGCAACCCCAUUGUUCGGGCAUGACUCUAACACGGCCUCUGCUUGCCAGCUGUCGGGGCUGGGCUGCCAGGGGAUGCUGCCGAGCAUCCUCAGCACCCCUGGGCCUCCCACAAAACUGAUUUUCCCAAGUAUAAAGAUCAGGAAGAUGAGACGUGCCCUGGUUUUGCAGGCUCGCAGCCCACACCCCAGAUAUCAUCCACUAUUGGGAGAGAAUUUUUUCAUAAGUUUGUUAAUAAUUCUAUUUCCUGAUCGCCUUGAAAUGAAAGGUGGCACGGUCUGGCACUGAAUGGCCGUGGGAAGGAAAAAGAAUGGUGAAAGGAGCACUGGACCAGUGCACGUCUUAAAAAAUGAUGCGAAAGGAGUUGCUCAGCAGGCAGGUCGCAUCCAGGCUGCGGGGCCGGUGCUGGUGCUGGAGCAGAAUGGGUGCAGGUGUGGGUGUGGAGGCACGGGGUGCGGGUGCCCCCUGCGGGACACCAGGUGCCUCUGGCAGCCCGUGGCACCGGCCCAAGCCGCAGGGAGCAGCUCGCAGCAGGGGUGCGGGACCUCCUGGGUGGGUUUGGGUUUCAUCCUGGCGUGGGAAGCCCCCUGCGGAACCUGUGCUGGCAGCGGUGCAGCACGGAGCUGUAUCCUGGCCACACUAUGCUCAUCUUUCAGAAGUUUGGGUAGGCUUACGGAACCUCAGGCAUCGAGGUUUACAUUAUUUAAACAAUUCAUUUAAGCUGUUGUUUCAGGAUCUUCUGAGCUCUCCCUCCUUGAAGUGAGCGUGAGGAGCAGAACUGUGUCCAGGAGGGCAAGUCUAACCUUUAGGGAAGAACAUCGAGGCACUUGCCAGCAUUUCGGGCGCUGUGACGAAAACAUCCGGAGACUGCAGGAACUCUGAGGACUGUGCAGGGACAUCGUGGCACCUCUGCAGCACAGUGCCCGCUGCUGUUCCCAGCCCUCAGCAUGGGCCUGCCUCUUCCCGAACUGCUCUGGGUCACGUUUGGCGCUGCUGGCACGCCUCGUCGCAGGUCUUGAUUUAGAAAACUAAAGAUAGCACCCGAGUGUGGCCGUUGCUAUCCUAACCUGAGAAAUACAGUCCCAAAUAAAAGCAAACGUGAAAAGAGCUUGGUGUUACAUUAGCAAUGUAGGUCCCUGCGGGAGAUAAAGGUGAGUUGUCUGUGCUGAAUUCCACUUCGGUGUUGCUCCCUGUAGCUUCCCAUCUAGGGAGUCCUGCCUAACAGCCUUCAGCUUUCACACCUAGCAGCGCUCAGGCAGAUUAAUAGUAUUGAUCCUUAAUUUGCAUCAUCCACUCAUGAAAUUCCAUUUUCAACUUGAUUAAAGCAAUUUGCAAGGCAGUCUCCUGCCUCAGCAGGCUUGUAGCAGAGAUUGUCUGCUAGGUCCCCAUGACUUUGUUGUUUUUCCGGACAGAAAACAUGCCUCUGCCACCACUGGGCAGGACUUCAAGGGUUUUUUCUUCCUCUGCAAAAAGAAAAUGACUGGGGAUGCUGCUAAGUUGGGUGCCUGUUUCUUGCCUGAUUUAGAUGCUCCCUGAUGGCCAGUACAGGAAAUUCCCUGGAACCAUCAUCACCAGUGGGAUUUCUCGGAAGUGCUCUGCUGGAAAUCCGAGUGCUGAUUUGAUCCUGUGAAGACCUGCCAAACAACACGAGCAGUUUGAACUUCCCUGCUGUGGAGCCAUCCCUUGUUCCCUCGGCGAGGAAUCCGCAAAGCCCCAGCUGCUCCCUCUUUCUGGUUCACGGGGAGCCACUCGCUGCCAAUCUUCAGGAGGAAACCGCACUCCUCGGGGGCUGAAACCACCACAGAGGGUGUUGUAAGGCAAAAGCCACAGCCCCCACGUAACCAGCCUUGCGGUGUGCCAGGGCUGCAGCUCUCUGUACGCAGGGGCACGGAGCGGAGCCGACGAGGAGCAGGAGUCCCGCAGGGGAUCCCUGGAUGCAGUGAGAUCAAAGGUUCAACAGCUGAUGGUUACCCUGAAGACUUCAGCCUGAUGUGCUAGGCUCAGAGCUUGUAUCCCCGACAGGAAAUGCCGGAGUUGGGAAGCAGAUGUGUGCAGAAGAUAAUGCCGAAAAGUUAAACAGGAAUUGAGGAGACCCGCUGCCGGACACGGCUGCUGCCAGUGCUUGGUGGGCCGCCACACGCUUUUUGCAGAGUAAGUUAUUCUGCUCGUUAUUCCUUGUCAUUUUGCCUCCCUGGAAAAAGGAAGUAGCGAAGAUCUGAAUGGAGGAA
Molecule: long non-coding RNA, 3210 nt
Organism: Oxyura jamaicensis (ruddy duck)
Lineage: Eukaryota; Metazoa; Chordata; Aves; Anseriformes; Anatidae
Exons: 4
Source: RefSeq, a predicted model, not a curated record